Molecule: ribosomal RNA, 490 nt
Filed under: uncultured bacterium
Lineage: Bacteria
Description: partial 16S ribosomal RNA
Rfam family: Bacterial small subunit ribosomal RNA
Source: RNAcentral
AUUGAACGCUGGCGGCAGGCCUAACACAUGCAAGUCGAAUGGUAACAGGAAACAGCUUGCUGUUUCGCUGACGAGUGGCGGACGGGUGAGUAAUGUCUGUGAAACUGCCUGAUGGCGGGGGAUAACUACUGGAAACGGUAGCUAAUACCGCAUAACGUCGCAAGACCAAAGAGGGGGACCUUCGGGCCUCUUGCCAUCAGAUGUGCCCAGAUGGGAUUAGCUAGUAGGUGGGGUAACGGCUCACCUAGGCGACGAUCCCUAGCUGGUCUGAGAGGAUGACCAGCCACACUGGAACUGAGACACGGUCCAGACUCCUACGGGAGGCAGCAGUGGGGAAUAUUGCACAAUGGGCGCAAGCCUGAUGCAGCCAUGCCGCGUGUAUGAAGAAGGCCUUCGGGUUGUAAAGUACUUUCAGCGGGGAGGAAGGGAGGAAAGUUAAUACCUGUGCUCAUUGACGUUACCCGCAGAAGAAGCACCGGCUAACUCCGUG